GACGAACGCUGGCGGCGUGCUUAACACAUGCAAGUCGAACGGUGAAGGGACCGGUUUUUGCUGGUUCUGGAUGAGUGGCGAACGGGUGAGUAACACGUGAGUAACCUGCCCCCUUCUUCUGGAUAACCGCAUGAAAGUGUGGCUAAUACGGGAUAUUCUGCGCCUGCUGCAUGGUGGGUGUGGGAAAGAUAUUGUUUCGGUGGGGGAUGGGCUCGCGGCCUAUCAGCUUGUUGGUGGGGUGAUGGCCUACCAAGGCGGUGACGGGUAGCCGGCCUGAGAGGGUGGACGGUCACACUGGGACUGGGACACGGACCAGACUCCUAAGGGAGGCAGCAGUGGGGAAUAUGGCACAAUGGGCGCAAGCCUGAUGCAGCGACGCCGCGUGAGGGAUGGAGGCCUUCGGGUUGUAAACCUCUUUCGCCAGUGAAGCAGGCCUGUCCCUUUUGUGGGUGGGUUGACGGUAGCUGGAGAAGAAGCGCCGGCUAACUACGUG
This 493-nucleotide ribosomal RNA is filed under the name uncultured bacterium. Its description in RNAcentral is "partial 16S ribosomal RNA". It matches the Rfam family "Bacterial small subunit ribosomal RNA", at positions 28 to 507 of the family's 1533-position model. The record is from RNAcentral.